This 253-nucleotide ribosomal RNA is filed under the name uncultured bacterium. Its description in RNAcentral is "partial 16S ribosomal RNA". It matches the Rfam family "Bacterial small subunit ribosomal RNA", at positions 524 to 776 of the family's 1533-position model. The record is from RNAcentral.
AACGUAGGACGCAAGCGUUAUCCGGAGUUAUUGGGCGUAAAGAGCGUGUAGGCGGCCAAGUAGGUCCGGUGUGAAAACUCGAGGCUUAACCUCGAGAUGUCAUCGGAAACCAUUUGGCUAGAGUCCGGAAGAGGAAAGUGGAAUUCCUGGUGUAGCGGUGAAAUGCGCAGAUAUCAGGAAGAACACCAAUGGCGAAAGCAGCUUUCUGGGACGGUACUGACGCUGAGACGCGAAAGCGUGGGGAGCGAACAGG